CUAGAAAGAGAAGGCUUUCCUAGAGCUGCGUUCUCACUGUGCCCAUUGGCAUUCCUUGGUUUCCGGCUUCUCCGCCUCCCAGUCCGAAACAUGAAAGCAAAGGAAACCCAGAGAACUCCCUACCACGUUGUUCUUCAAGAUCCCCUGCCAGUUUGCCUUCUUCUCUCAAGCUCUCAGAGGCCCAAGGACGAUUAACAGAACUAGGUCACGGCAUUUUUGUUCACCAUCUUUCUUUAUAAAAACCCUGCCCUGCUUCUCUUUACUGAUUAGAGGGUGUCUGAGCAUCCCCAGGUGACUUGAGAGGCCCAGAUCUCAGAGGUCACCUGAGUGUGAAGGAUAAGACUGCAUGUCACAGGCGAAAUGGGAUUCACCACGUGAUAGUGAGCCUCCCAGAGCCCCCUGCAGUGCCACAACAUGGCACAGGUGCCCGGGAAACAGCUAUUGAAUGAAUUAACAAGCCACCACAUCCUGCCCCCACUGAGUCCAAAAUCCUCCCACUGCCACAGCAUGUUCUGCCCACCAAACAGAGGGAAGACAGGGUCAGCAGCUCCAUGGGCCCUCAGAGAAAGCCCAGCCUUAACACAGCAAUGCAGAACCCACUGCAGGCAACAGAGUGUCCUGGCGAUGGAGCCAUCUGCCCAGGUUCAAAUGCUGCAUGGCCCUGGGCAAGUUCCAUGGCUUCACUGCCCCUCAAUCCUGAGCUGUAAACUGCAGCUACCAACAGGGCCCACCUCAUGGGGAUCUUAUGAGGACUGAAUGAGAUAACAGAGGUACAACUUCCCAGAUGCGAUGUGGACACAAAGUUUUGGAGAGUGAAUAGGAGUUUUCCGGAUGGACCAAGGGUAGGAAGUCACUCCAGGACAUAGGAUGCUGCAAAGAGCCACACUCUGGAUGACAACAGGACAGGCCUUUAGGAGGUGGCUGUCAAGGCUGGCUGAAGGUUGGAACCUCCUGGAGUGCUUGCAAAAACUACCAAGGAGAUAAUACACAUUUGAGAUGAUGGAUUUGCUAAUUAUCCUAUUUGCAUAAUGUAUACAUGAUUCAAAACAUCACAUUGUACCCCAUAAAUGUGUGCAAUUAUUAAUAUUAUGUGUGAAUAAAAUACCAAUGUCAGCCCCACGCUACCAGCAGCACCCAAAGCUCUAUGCUGGAGCCUGCACAUCCCCCGUGUCUGUGCUAGGCUCCCAGGGCUCCUGAUGGUCAGCAAGAGAUCCGGACCCUGACCCAGGAAGGGCAGGGACUGGCCAGGGUAGAAAGGGCAGGGCUCAGGCUCACUGAGGCCAGCUGGUCUCCCCUACUCCCUGGUGCUGACCCUGGACACCCUCCCCUCCCCAACAGGCUGGCAGCCUCCACUGCCCAGACUCUAUCCACAAAGGAGGUAAGGACUUGUUCAGCGUCACCCACUCACCUGUCAGCACCCCCAGGACCACCCUCUGUAAAGGUCAUACAGGAGGAAGGAAGAGAGUCUUCCCAGGUGGCUAGCCCAAGGCACCUCUGCCAGCAUCCUGAGCAGAGGCAGCC
This 1521-nucleotide long non-coding RNA is filed under the name Callithrix jacchus (white-tufted-ear marmoset). RNAcentral describes it as "lncRNA (ENSCJAG00000061036.2)". The record is from RNAcentral. Lineage: Eukaryota; Metazoa; Chordata; Mammalia; Primates; Cebidae.